RNAcentral lists this long non-coding RNA (5161 nucleotides) under Sus scrofa (pig). Its description in RNAcentral is "lncRNA (ENSSSCG00000061226.1)". Lineage: Eukaryota; Metazoa; Chordata; Mammalia; Artiodactyla; Suidae. The record is from RNAcentral.
CUAGGGAGCUGAGUAAUUUAUGGCUACAGAUAGCACUCUGAAUCGCUAGUAAACUUUUCAAAUUGUUACUUUCUUUAACAAAAGUCAUUAUUUAAUUUUUAUAAGCUGCAGUGUGCUAAAAAGUUUUUAGGCGCUCUACAAAUCACACAAUUCAACAUGACUGCUACUUGGAUAGAUUGCAGAUUGGCCAAGCUUUUUGUUCUGCCUUGUCUUCUUUACUCUCAAUCAAUAAACCUUUGAGAGAGAUAAAUUUCUCUGGAGGACUCGUGUCUUCCCCAACAUAGAGGCUUAUUAUGAUAUUAAAAAGAAUCAAGGUCUAAAGUGAUCAUUUAAAAUAAAACAGUUGGGAGUUCCCAUUGUGGCUCAGUGGAAAUGAACCCAACAAGUUUCCAUGAGGAUGAGGGUUUGAUCUCUGGCCCCACUCAGUGGGUUAAGGGUCUGGCAUUGCUGCGAACUGUGGUGUAGGUUGCAGAUGUGGCUCUGAUCUGGCAUUGCUGUGGCAGCUGUAGCUCUGGUUCGACCCCUAGCCUGGAAACCUCCAUAUGCCACAAGUGCAGCCCUGAAAAGCAAAAAAAUAAAAAUAAAAAUAAAAAAUAAAACAAAACAAUUGCAUUUUCUGUUUAAAUGAUAGUUUGUUGAGAAUUAUGCUGCUGUUACUUGAAGCUGGCACAUCAGCCAUAUCACCAUUUGCAUCAUUUCUUGUGCAAAAUGUGAGGGUUCAAAUUCUGGUUUAAAUACCAGCCUAGAGAAACACAUUUAAUUUAUUAAGUGUAUACAGAGUACAAGUUAAAGGGAAGCUGAAAGGAAAAUAAUAAGCUCAAUAAGAAUACCUGCUGACCCCAGGGAGGAUAAAGGCUUUUUGUUUCAGCAAAUCUGCUCAUGGAUGGCUUUGGAAGGGACAGUGGCUCAGUCACUUCAGAGUCCACUUGUUCUGCUUUUUCUUUAAGUAGUGCAAAUGCCCUUUCUGUUGCAUGCACUUCCUGGAAAUUCCUCUGAACUUUCUCAUGACUUAUUUUCAUUUACAAGGGUUCAUUUCCUCAAAGAGAAUUUUGGAGGACCCUGUUAUUUAUGCCUCCUAGGUAUAGGCACUGGAAAGGAUAUGUGAAGGGUAGAAGACACAGAACCUGUGUGUAGAAAAUGCCAAGAAAUCAGGUUAAAAAAAACUUUGAAAGAGAGAAUCAAGUAUAACAUGGACCAUGACAUGAUGCAAAUAAGAAUGAAAGAAACCAAAAGAAUACAAAUGGAGUGCUUGAUGAGGUGUCUGGGAACCUAGAUCUAGUUUUGGCUGUGACCUGGGAAGAGCUGCCUACACUAACUGGAUCUAAAAAUUAUCAUAUAAUUAUUAUUUAUAUAGACUUGAAACUCAGUCAAUCCCAUAGUUACUUUUUUUUAAUUUUUAAGAAUUUUUUAUUUUUUUGGCAUUAUAUAAUGACUUUUGUUUUCUCCGUUAUAGCUGGUUUACAGUGUUCUAUUUUCUACUGUACAGCAUGGUGACCCAGUUACACAUACAUGUAUACAUACUUUUUCCUCACAUUGUCAUGCUCCAUCAUAAGUAACUAGAUAUAGAGCAGGAUCUCAUUGCUUAUCCAUUCUAAAGGCAAUAGUUUGAAUCUAUUGACCCCAAAUUCCCAAUCCAUUCUACUCCCUCCCCCCUCCUUGGCAACUACAAGUCUGUUCUCCAUGUCCAUGAUUUUAUUUUCUGUGGAAAGUUUCAUUUGUGCCAUAUAUUAGAUUCCAGAUACAAGUGAUAUCAUAUGGUAUUUGUCUUUCUCUUUCUGACUUACUUCACUUAGUAUGAAAGUCUCUAGUUCCAUCCAUCCAUGUUGUAGCAAAUGGCAUUAUUUUGUUCUUUUUGUGGCUGAGUAGUAUUCCAUUGUGCAUAUAAACCACAUGUGCUUAAUCCAAUCAUCUGUCAAUGGACAUUUAUGUUGUUUCCAUGUCUUGGCUAUUGUGAAUAGUGCUGCAAUGAAAAUGCAGGUGCAUGUGUCUUUUUCAAGGAAGGUUUUGUCUGGAUAUAUGCCCAAGAGAAGGAUUGCUGGGUCAUAUGGUAGUUCUAUGUAUAGUUUUCUAAGGUACUUCCAUACUGUUUUCCAUAGUGGUUGUACCAAUUUACAUUCCCAAAAACAGUGCAGGAGGGUUCCCUUUUCUCCACACUCCCUCGAGCAUUUGUUGUUUGUGGACUUAUAAUGAUGGCCAUUCUGACUGGUGUGAGGUGGUACCUCAUAGUAGUUUUGAUUUGCAUUUCUUUAAUAAUCAGUGAUGUUGAGCAUUUUUUCACGUGCUUGUUGUCCAUCUGUGUAUCUUCUUGGAGAAAUGUCUAUUCGGGUCUUUUACCCAUUUUUCAGUUGGGUUGUUGGCUUUUUUGCUGUUGAGUUGUAUAAGUUGUAUAUUUUAGAGAUUAAACCCUUUUCAGUUGUAUCAUUUGCAACUAUUUUCUCCCAUUCUAUAGGUUAUCUUUUUGUUAUUUACUAUUAUUAUUAUUAUUAUUUUUGUCUUUUUGCCUUUUCUAGGGCCACUCCCAUGGCAUAUGGAGGUUUCCAGGCUAGGGGUCUAAUCCGAGCUGUAGCUGCCAGCCUAUGCCAGAGCCACAGGAAGGCGGGAUCUGAGCCGCAUCUGCAACCUACACCAUAGCUCACGGAAAUGCUGGAUCCUUAACCCACUGAGCAAGGCCAGGGAUCGAACCCACAACCUCAUCAUUCCUAGUAGGAUUCAUUAACCACUGCGCCACGACAGAAACUCCUUGUUAUUUUUUAAUGGUUUCCUUUGCUGUGCAAAAGCUUGUCAGUUUGAUUAAAUCCUAUUGGUUUAUUUUUGCUUUUGUUUCUGUUACUUUGGAAGACUGACCUGAGAAAACAUUGGUAAGGUUGAUAUCAGAGAAUGUUUUGCCUAUGUUCCCUUCUAGGAGUUUGAUGGUGUCUUGUCUUACAUUUAAGUCUUUAAGCCAUUUUGAGUUUAUUUUCAUUCAUGGUGUGAGGGUGUGCUCCAGUUUCAUUGAUUUACCUGUGGCAGUCCAGUUUUCCCAGCAAGAAUUGCUGAAAAGACUGUCUUUUUCCCAUUUUAUAUUCUUGCCUUCUUUGUCAAAGAUUUUUUUUUUCAUUUAUUUAUAUAUAUAUAUUUUUUCUACUGUACAGCAUGGUGACCUAGUUACACUUACAUGUAUACAUUCUUUUUCCUCACAUUUCAUGUUCCAUCAUAAGUGACUAGACAGAGUUCCCAGUACUACACAGGAGGAUCUCAUUGCUAAUGCAUCCUGAAGGCAACAUUCUGCAUCUAUUUACCCCAAGCUCCCAGUCCCUCCCACUCCCUCCCCUUCCUCCUUGGCAACCACAAGUCUAUUCUCUGAGUCCUUGAUUUUCUUUUCUGUGGAAAGAUUCCUUUAUGCCAUAUAUUAUAGUCCAGAUAUAAGUGAUAUAUGGUACUUGACUUUUUGACUUCACUCAAUAUGAGGGUCUCUAGUCCCAUCCAUGUUGCUGCAAAUAGUAUUAUUUUGCUCUUUUUAUGGCUGAGUGGUAUUCCAUUGUGUAUAUAUACAUGUAGGUUUCUGGGUUUAUUUCUGGGUUCUCUAUUCAGUUCCAUUCAUCUGUAUGUCUGUUUUGGUACCAGUACCACAUUGUCUUGAUACUGUGGCUUUGUAAUAUUGCCUGAAAUCUGGAAGAGUUAUGCCUCCUGCUUGGUUUUCAUUCCUCAGGAUUUCUUUGGCAUUUCUGGGUCUUCUAUGGUUCCAUAUAAAUUUUUGUAUUGAUUGUUCUAGUUCUGUGAAAAAUGUUAUGGUUAAUUUGAUAGGGAUUACAUUGAAUCUGUAGAUUGCUUUGGCUAGUAUGGCCAUUUUUACAAUAUUAAUUUUUCCAAAAUAUGAGCAUGGAAUCUUUCCAUUUCUUACAUCUUCUUUAAUUUCCUUGAUUAAUGUUUCAUAGUUCUCAGCAUGUAAGUCUUUCACCUCCUUGGUCAGGUUUAUUCCCAGGUAUUUGAUUUUUUGGGAUGCAAUUUUAAAAUGUAUUGAAUUUUUGUAUUCCUUUUCUAAUAUUUCAUUGUUAGUAUACAGAUAUGUGACUGAUUUCUGAAUGAUAAUAUUAUAUCCUGCUACUUUGCUGAAUUUAUUUGUCAGUUCAAGUAGUUUUGGGGUUGAGUCCUUAUGGUUUUCUAUAAAUAUAAUAUCAUGUCAUCUGCAAAUAGUGACAAUUUUACCUCUUCUCUUCCAAUUUGGAUGCCUUUUAUUUCUUUUGUUUGUCUGAUUGCUGUGGCUAGGACUUCCAGUACUAUGUUGAAUAACAGUGGUUAGAGUGGGCAUCCUUGUCUUGUUCCAGAUUUUAGUGGGAAGACUUUCAGCUAUUCUCCAUUGAGUAUUAUAUUUGCUCUGGGUUUGUCAUAAAUGGCUUUGAUUAUGUUAAGGAAUGUUUGCUCUAUACCCACUUUGGAAAGAGUUUUUUACAUGAAUGGAUGUUUGUCUGUUGCCUUAUUCAUUUCUGUCCAGAGGAUCUGUCCAUUGAUGUGAGUGGGGUGUUAAAAGUCUCAUACUCUGAUUGUAUUCCCAUCAAUUUCUCCUUUUAUGUCUGUUGGUAUUGGUUGUAGGUAUCUGGGUGCUCCUAUAUUAGUGGUCUAUAUAUUGAUGAUUGUAAUAUCCUCUUAUCAAAUGGAUCCUUUUGCUAUUAAAUAGUGUCCUUCUUUGUCUUUCUUUAGGGCCUUCAUUUUAAAGACUAUUUUGUUUGAUAUGAGUAUUGAAGCUCCUGAUUUCCUAUCUUGUCCAUUGGCAUGAAAUAUCUUUUCCCAUCCCCUCACUUUCAAUCUGUAUGUGUCCUUUGCGCUAAGUUGAAUAUCUUAUAGGCAGCUGAUUAUAGGUUUUUGCUUUUUUUUUUUUUUUUAUCCAAUCUGCCACUUUGUGUCUUUUGAUUGGAGCAUUUAGUCCAUUGACAUUUAAGGCGAUUUUUGAUAGAUAGGUAUUUACUGCCAUUUUAAACCUUGUUUUCCAGUUGAUUCUGUUUCUCUUUUUGUCCUUUCUUACUUGGGUUGGAUGAUUUCCAUUUAUUUUAUGCUCGAGUACUUUUCUUUUUAGUUUUUGUGAAUGUAAUGUUUGGUUUUGAUUUGUGGUUGCCCUGUUUUUUAAGUAUGUUAACCCCUUCCUCUAUCUGCUUGUUUUAGCCUGAUAGUCUUAUAGGCUCAAACA